UAGGACGUAGAUGGGAUGGGUUGUGAA
Molecule: small RNA, 27 nt
Filed under: Bombyx mori (domestic silkworm)
Lineage: Eukaryota; Metazoa; Arthropoda; Insecta; Lepidoptera; Bombycidae
Description: ovarian small RNA-22651
Source: RNAcentral